GUCUAAUUAUCUAUCCAACCAUAGCUAUAGUCACGCUCUCAUCGUAGGGAGCCCUUCUGAUACCAAGAGUUAUUACUGCCAUAUUCUCAAGUUAAUAUGGGGUUCAACUGCCCUACUUGUUUAGGUGAUCAAGCCUCUCUUCUAGUUUUUGUCUCACCUCAAAGCUUGCAGUUGCUUCCAUCUGGUUCUCAACUUGCAUCAAGUUUUUAUGCUAGAGAGCUUUCAAGUAAUAACCAUUGGGAGCCAGUUGUACCGAUGGAUGCUUACUUAACCCUUUUUUUAAAUAUAUUCGUGGAAAAAUAACAGUGAGGUACAUUUAUUUGAUUAUUUAGUGUCAUGAAUCCAUUAUUUAGUGUCAUUAAUUAUUGUUCAGGAUUUUUUGGUUUGUUUUGGCUAUAAUUGCUGAAUUGCUUGUUCUAGAGUUCAAUUGAAUGGAUACUCUGUGUGAUAUUGGCGGCUACCUACUUGAACUUUCACAUAUAAUCUUUAUAGAACUUCUGGCAGAAAUCCUGAAAUUUAUGUUGAGUUGCACAUCAAAAGAUUCGCCAUGUGUUGUCGUAGGGGAUCCAUGACCACUCAAACUCUCGUCAGGCCUUGGAGAUUUUUUUUUUUUUUAAAUUCCUUUGUGCGUGGUAUCAAACCUUGAAUUUGACAUUGCAAUCCAGUGCUUUUGUUUCCUCAGCUCUUUCUAUUCGACCAAGAGCAAGACAGGCAUGCAUCUGAAAUGCUCUAUUGCAUCCAUUGCUAGUAUACAUGGUAGUUGUAUUUAGUACCACAGCCUGUAAUUUCUUCCAUCCAAUGCCUUAGUUGCCUAUAAUGAAACUAUUGUAGUGGGUUUAUGCGAGCCUGAGAAAUUUUUGAAUCAUUGAAUGUUUUG
Molecule: long non-coding RNA, 877 nt
Filed under: Amborella trichopoda
Lineage: Eukaryota; Viridiplantae; Streptophyta; Magnoliopsida; Amborellales; Amborellaceae
Description: long non-coding RNA (ATRI_LNC000273)
Source: RNAcentral